This is a long non-coding RNA of Diceros bicornis minor, 506 nucleotides long. RefSeq lists it as uncharacterized. NCBI's taxonomy places the organism in Eukaryota, Metazoa, Chordata, Mammalia, Perissodactyla, Rhinocerotidae. The record is from RefSeq and is a predicted model, not a curated record. The transcript is spliced from 3 exons.
GUGCUAUUCGGAGGGUUAACUGGGGACUCUAGCUCACUGUUAACACGGGCCUCGCUGGACAAAGGGCAGACGUGAAUUUAAGUCACUGUGUAGUCUGAGUCCUCUUUCCCGCCUCAGCACCAUCUCCCUAUUACCUUGGAGGCAGGCAGGCGCGCUUCUGGACGCCAGACAGAAGAGAAGUAGACUACCUCCUGCCCCGGAUCUGAGGAGGUUUGAAAGAGCAGAGGAUAUCCGAAGGUGAGGGCGAACACCAAAGCAGCCUGCAGCAGGCACAAGACCCUCCUAGGCUGAUGGCUGGGCUGUCCUGACAUGCUUACCUGGAGGACGACGACUGUCUCCAUCACAGGUGUGAGACGUGCAUCACAGUCGGAAGGCUCUCUCCAUCUCCUCCUGCUCCUUCUCCCUUUAUCUUUCACAGGUAUUUCCUCAAUAAAGCUCUUGUAUGUCUAAGCUUGUCUUGGCAUUUGCUUCUAGGAGGGCCUGAACUGAUAAUAGGGUCAGGGUAC